Molecule: transfer RNA, 73 nt
Filed under: Medicago truncatula (barrel medic)
Lineage: Eukaryota; Viridiplantae; Streptophyta; Magnoliopsida; Fabales; Fabaceae
Description: tRNA gene11641
Source: RNAcentral
GUUGACGUGGGGUAAUGGUUAUCAUGUCGGCCUUACACACCGGUGGUCUCUAGUUCGAUUUUGGGCAACAACA